UUUCCGUAGGUGAACCUGCGGAAGGAUCAUUAUUGUAUAACCGAGGUGCGAGGGCUGUCGCUGACCCGAAAGGUCAUGCACGCCCGAGUGCCCUCACACACAUCCAUCUCACCCCUAUGUGCACCACCGCGUGGGUCCCCCUUGGGCUUGUUCGGAGGGGGGCUUACGUUUUCACACAAACUUUGUAUGCAGUGUAGAAUGUAUUUUUUGUUUUUGCGAUCACGCAAUCAAUACAACUUUCAACAACGGAUCUCUUGGCUCUC
This 263-nucleotide unclassified non-coding RNA is filed under the name plant metagenome. Its description in RNAcentral is "partial contains small subunit ribosomal RNA, internal transcribed spacer 1, and 5.8S ribosomal RNA". The record is from RNAcentral.